Molecule: ribosomal RNA, 1093 nt
Filed under: uncultured archaeon
Lineage: Archaea
Description: bacterial SSU rRNA
Rfam family: Archaeal small subunit ribosomal RNA
Source: RNAcentral
UACGGGGCGCAGCAGGCGCGAAACCUCCGCAAUGCGGGAAACCGCCGACGGGGUCAGCCGGAGUGCUCGCGCAUCGCGCGGGCUGUCGGGGUGCCUAAAAAGCACCCCACAGCAAGGGCCGGGCAAGGCCGGUGGCAGCCGCCGCGGUAAUACCGGCGGCCCGAGUGGCGGCCACUUUUUAUUGGGCCUAAAGCGUCCGUAGCCGGGCUGGUAAGUCCUCCGGGAAAUCUGGCGGCUUAACCGUCAGACUGCCGGAGGAUACUGCCAGCCUAGGGACCGGGAGAGGCCGGGGGUAUUCCCGGAGUAGGGGUGAAAUCCUGUAAUCCCGGGAGGACCACCUGUGGCGAAGGCGCCCGGCUGGAACGGGUCCGACGGUGAGGGACGAAGGCCAGGGGAGCGAACCGGAUUAGAUACCCGGGUAGUCCUGGCUGUAAACGAUGCGGACUAGGUGUCACCGAAGCUACGAGCUUCGGUGGUGCCGGAGGGAAGCCGUUAAGUCCGCCGCCUGGGGAGUACGGCCGCAAGGCUUGAAACUUUAAAGAAUUGGCGGGGGAGCACUACAACGGGUGGAGCCUUGCGGUUUUAUUGGAUUCCACGCCGGGAAGCUUACCGGGGGAGACAGCGGGAUGAAGGUCGGGCUGAAGACCUUACCAGACUAGCUGAGAGGUGGUGCAUGGCCGCCGUCAGUUCGUACUGUGAAGCAUCCUGUUAAGUCAGGCAACGAGCGAGACCCGCGCCCCCAGUUGCCAGCGGUUCCCUUCGGGGAAGCCGGGCACACUGGGGGGACUGCCGGCGCUAAGCCGGAGGAAGGUGCGGGCAACGGCAGGUCCGUAUGCCCCGAAUCCCCCGGGCUACACGCGGGCUACAAUGGCCGGGACAAUGGGUACCGACCCCGAAAGGGGUAGGUAAUCCCCUAAACCCGGUCUAACCUGGGAUCGAGGGCUGCAACUCGCCCUCGUGAACCUGGAAUCCGUAGUAAUCGCGCCUCAAAAUGGCGCGGUGAAUACGUCCCUGCUCCUUGCACACACCGCCCGUCAAGCCACCCGAGUGGGCCAGGGGCGAGGGGGUGGCCCUAGGCCACCUUCGAGCCCAG